This 69-nucleotide transfer RNA is filed under the name Chrysolina haemoptera. RNAcentral's name for it is "tRNA-Gln". The record is from RNAcentral. Lineage: Eukaryota; Metazoa; Arthropoda; Insecta; Coleoptera; Chrysomelidae.
UAUAUUUUAGUAUUUGAUGUACACAAAUUUUUGAUAUUUGAAGAAAUGGUUUAAUUCCAUUAAAUGUAA